AACGAACGCUGGCGGCAUGCCUAACACAUGCAAGUCGAACGAUAUCCUCAGGGGUCUGGUGGCGCACGGGUGAGUAAGGCGUUGGUACAUGCGCACGGGCCCGGUAUUACAGUUAGACUUCUCUGCUGAUACCGGAAGACGACGUUAAGUCUAAGGAUUUAUCGCCUGGGGAUGGGCCCGAGUAGGUAUAGCUAGUUGUUGUGGUAGAGGCGCACCAAGGUGACGUUCCUUAGCUGGGCUUAGAGGAUGAUCAGCCACACUGGGACUGAGACACGGCCCAGACUCCGACGGGAGGGAGCAGUGGGGAAUAUUGGACAAUGGGCGCAAGCCUGAGCCAGCAAGGCCGCAUAAGUGAUGAAGGCGGAAGGGUUGUAAAGCUCUUUUACCCGGGAGGAUAAUGACAUAACCGAAAGAAUAAGCCCCGGCUAACACCG
Molecule: ribosomal RNA, 434 nt
Filed under: uncultured bacterium
Lineage: Bacteria
Description: partial 16S ribosomal RNA
Rfam family: Bacterial small subunit ribosomal RNA
Source: RNAcentral